GUGAGGACGGCGCGGGAGGGCGUUUCCGGAGCACGCGCCGGGCGGGGGCCGCUGACGUCGGGCUCAGGGCCGCGGCCAGAGGGCUAGAAUCCGCGCCUUCCGAGGGAGCCGCGCCCUGCGGGCCCCACCGUACCCGAGGGGAUGGAGGGCUGCCCCCGAGGCCCCCGCGCGGCUCGCGGUCCCACGCCUGCCGGCCCGCGCUAGCUACUCGACUCGUGCGCUAAAUUUAUCCGUCACCCAGGCCUUGUCUCCCGAGUCAUUGGCGUCGUGGUUCAAAAGAAAUGGAAGAAAAGGAGCGAUGUGACCGAUUGUGUUCGGUCCUCCUGCUUUGAGGCCUGGCAUUUGCAGAGGGAAACAGCAAGAAAAUCGUGGGGAUUUUGGAGGGGGGUGGGAGGGAAGGGUGGGGAAACGGAAACAAGGUCUUACAUUUUAUGUGUUUUUUUAAAUUCUGCACUUUGACAGUGGUAGCAAAAUAAAAGUAAUCCAAAAGUUAUUUUUCUAUUGAGAAGAGAGAAGAGGUGGGUU
This 525-nucleotide long non-coding RNA is filed under the name Homo sapiens (human). RNAcentral describes it as "non-protein coding lnc-SUN2-2:2". The record is from RNAcentral. Lineage: Eukaryota; Metazoa; Chordata; Mammalia; Primates; Hominidae.